Molecule: ribosomal RNA, 482 nt
Filed under: uncultured bacterium
Lineage: Bacteria
Description: partial 16S ribosomal RNA
Rfam family: Bacterial small subunit ribosomal RNA
Source: RNAcentral
AUUGAACGCUGGCGGCAUGCUUUACACAUGCAAGUCGAACGGUAACAGCACUUCGGUGGCUGACGAGUGGCGAACGGGUGAGUAAUACAUCGGAACGUGCCUAGUAGUGGGGGAUAACUACUCGAAAGAGUAGCUAAUACCGCAUGAGAUCUAAGGAUGAAAGCAGGGGACCUUCGGGCCUUGCGCUACUAGAGCGGCUGAUGGCAGAUUAGGUAGUUGGUGGGAUAAAAGCUUACCAAGCCGACGAUCUGUAGCUGGUCUGAGAGGACGACCAGCCACACUGGAACUGAGACACGGCCCAGACUCCUACGGGAGGCAGCAGUGGGGAAUUUUGGACAAAGGGCGCAAGCCUGAUCCAGCAAUGCCGCGUGCAGGAUGAAGGCCUUCGGGUUGUAAACUGCUUUUGUACGGAACGAAAAGCCCUCUUCUAAUACAGGAGGGUCAUGACGGUACCGUAAGAAUAAGCACCGGCUAACUACGUG